Molecule: transfer RNA, 73 nt
Filed under: Myotis davidii
Lineage: Eukaryota; Metazoa; Chordata; Mammalia; Chiroptera; Vespertilionidae
Rfam family: tRNA
About the family: Transfer RNA (tRNA) molecules are approximately 80 nucleotides in length. Their secondary structure includes four short double-helical elements and three loops (D, anti-codon, and T loops).
Source: Rfam by way of RNAcentral
GCCGGUGUGGCUCAGUGGACAGAGCGUCAGCCUUUGGACUGAAGGGUUCCGGGUUUGAUUCCGGCCACGGGCA